RNAcentral lists this ribosomal RNA (274 nucleotides) under uncultured bacterium. RNAcentral's name for it is "partial 16S ribosomal RNA". It matches the Rfam family "Bacterial small subunit ribosomal RNA", at positions 523 to 796 of the family's 1533-position model. The record is from RNAcentral.
AUACGGAGGGGGCUAGCGUUGUUCGGAAUUACUGGGCGUAAGGCGCACGUAGGCGGAUUAAAAAGUUAGAGGUGAAAUCCCAGGGCUUAACCCUGGAACUGCCUUUAAAACUAGUAGUCUAGAGUUCGAGAGAGGUGAGUGGAAUUCCAAGUGUAGAGGUGAAAUUCGUAGAUAUUUGGAGGAACACCAGUGGCGAAGGCGGCUCACUGGCUCGAUACUGACGCUGAGGUGCGAAAGCGUGGGGAGCAAACAGGAGUAGAAACCCCGGUAGUCC